UACGUAGGGGGCAAGCGUUAUCCGGAAUUACUGGGUGUAAAGGGAGCGUAGACGGUAAUGUAAGUCUGGAGUGAAAGGCGGGGGCCCAACCCCCGGACUGCUCUGGAAACUAUGUUACUAGAGUGCAGGAGAGGAGAGUGGAACUCCAUGUGUAGCGGUGGAAUGCGUAGAUAUAUGGAAGAACACCAGUGGCGAAGGCGGAUGACUGGACGGCAACUGACGGUGAGGCGCGAAAGCGUGGGGAGCAAACAGG
Molecule: ribosomal RNA, 253 nt
Filed under: uncultured bacterium
Lineage: Bacteria
Description: partial 16S ribosomal RNA
Rfam family: Bacterial small subunit ribosomal RNA
Source: RNAcentral